UACGGAGGGGGCAAGCGUUGUUCGGAAUUAUUGGGCGUAAAGAGUAUGUAGGCGGCUAAAUAAGUCAGACGUGCAAGCCCGUGGCUCAACCACGGAAUUGCGUUUGAAACUGUAUAGCUUGAGUACAGGAGAGGAAAGCGGAAUUCCCAGUGUAGCGGUGAAAUGCAUUGAUAUUGGGAAGAACAUCUGUGGCGAAGGCGGCUUUCUGGUCUGUUACUGACGCUGAGAUACGAAAGCCAGGGGAGCAAAGGGGAUUAGAUACCCCCGUAGUCCUGGCUGUAAACGAUGGGCACUAGGUGCAGGAGGUAUCGAUCCCCUCUGUGCCGUAGCUAACGCAUUAAGUGCCCCGCCUGG
RNAcentral lists this ribosomal RNA (354 nucleotides) under uncultured Nitrospinaceae bacterium. RNAcentral's name for it is "bacterial SSU rRNA". It matches the Rfam family "Bacterial small subunit ribosomal RNA", at positions 524 to 876 of the family's 1533-position model. Lineage: Bacteria; Pseudomonadati; Nitrospinota; Nitrospinia; Nitrospinales; Nitrospinaceae. The record is from RNAcentral.